CCUACGGGUGGCUGCAGUAGGGAAUUUUCGGCAAUGGGGGGAACCCUGACCGCGCAACGCCGCGUGAACGAAGAAGUUAUUCGUAAUGUAAAGUUCUUUUAACAGGGAAGAAAGAGAAAUUUGACGGUACCUGAAGAAUAAGCUCCGGCUAACUACGUGCCAGCAGCCGCGGUAAUACGUAGGGAGCGAGCGUUAUCCGGAUUUAUUGGGUUUAAAGGGUGCGCAGGCGGAUUUUUAAGUCAGCGGUCAAAUCGUGGGGCUCAACCCCAUCCAGCCGUUGAAACUGGGGAUCUAGAGUGUGCGAGAGGUAUGCGGAAUGCGGGGUGUAGCGGUGAAAUGCAUAGAGAUCACGCAGAACCCCGAUUACGAAGGCAGCAUACCGGUGCACAACUGACGCUCAGGCACGAAAGCGUGGGUAUCGAACAGGAUUAGAUACCCGUGUAGUC
RNAcentral lists this ribosomal RNA (446 nucleotides) under uncultured bacterium. RNAcentral's name for it is "partial 16S ribosomal RNA". It matches the Rfam family "Bacterial small subunit ribosomal RNA", at positions 338 to 795 of the family's 1533-position model. The record is from RNAcentral.